Molecule: ribosomal RNA, 329 nt
Filed under: uncultured Armatimonadota bacterium
Lineage: Bacteria; Bacillati; Armatimonadota
Description: bacterial SSU rRNA
Rfam family: Bacterial small subunit ribosomal RNA
Source: RNAcentral
GACGAACGCUAGCGACGUGCCUAAGAAAUGCAAGUCGAGCGAGGUUUAGAAGCUUGCUUCGAAAACCUAGCGGCGAACGGUCGCGUAACACGUAAGCAACCUGCCUCAAAGUUUGGGAUAGCCCUCCGAAAGGGGGAUUAAUACCGGAUGUGGAUAUAUUUUCGCAUGAUUAUGUAUCUAAAGCAGUAAUGCGCUUUGAGAUGGGCUUGCGGCCUAUCAGCUAGUUGGUGGGGUAAUGGCCUACCAAGGCGACGACGGGUAGCUGGUCUGAGAGGGAUGGUCAGCCCGGACUGGGACUGAGACACGGCCCAGACACCUACGGGAGGCAG